AUACGGAGGAUCCGAGCGUUAUCCGGAUUUAUUGGGUUUAAAGGGUGCGUAGGCGGCCUUUUAAGUCAGCGGUGAAAGUCUGUGGCUCAACCAUAGAAUUGCCGUUGAAACUGGGGGGCUUGAGUAUGUUUGAGGCAGGCGGAAUGCGUGGUGUAGCGGUGAAAUGCUUAGAUAUCACGCACAACCCCGAUUGCGAAGGCAGCCUGCCAAGCCAUGACUGACGCUGAUGCACGAAAGCGUGGGGAUCAACAGGAUUAGAUACCCUGGUAGUCCACGCAGUAAACGAUGAUCACUAGCUGUUUGCGAUACACUGUAAGCGGCACAGCGAAAGCGUUAAGUGAUCCACCUGGGGAGUACGCCGGCAACGGUGAAACUCAAAUGAAUUGACGGGG
RNAcentral lists this ribosomal RNA (392 nucleotides) under uncultured bacterium. RNAcentral describes it as "partial 16S ribosomal RNA". It matches the Rfam family "Bacterial small subunit ribosomal RNA", at positions 523 to 918 of the family's 1533-position model. The record is from RNAcentral.